AUUGCAGAAAGGGGGUUGUUCAUUUCUGUCAAGCAAAUCUUGGUAUCGGAAACUUAUCUCGCUGUUUUCGGGAAAAAUUUGAUUAGAAGCUUAUACUGUUCGUGUAGUAUAUUGUGACUGUGUCUUCAUCUAAAACAAAUUAACGAUGUCGGAAGAGCCAGAUACGCCGCCCUUUAGCACAGUGGAUAUCAACAAUGAUAAUAGGGAUGACGAAGAUCUUUUCGCGUCUGCGGUCCAGGAAGUCAGUUUGGACUCGGAGGUGAAUGGUGCGCGCGAAGGAAUCGAGAAGGCCGCCAUUAGUGACGCUCCGCCGUCUAUCACCGCUUCACUGGCCAGCCCAAUCAUGGAGGAGAUAGCGACAGAACGCGCGAACAACAUAAUAAUCACGAUCACGGAGCCACAAAAGAUCGGAGAAGGCAUGAGUUCGUACGUGGCGUACCGAGUCCUCACCAAGACUAAUAUGCCGAUAUUCAGCAAGCAUGAGUUCGCGGUGCUAAGGCGGUUCAGCGACUUCCUCGGUCUACAUGAGAAGCUGACUGAGAAGUACUUAAGGUCCGGCAGGAUCAUACCGCCGGCUCCUGAGAAGAGUAUAGUUGGUACCACAAAACUGAAGAUGACAUCUACCCCGUCGACGGAGAGUGCGAACGGCAGCUCGGCGGCGGGCAGCGUGCAGUCGCAGUUCGUGGAGCGACGCCGCGCAGCGCUCGAGCGCUUCCUCAACCGAGUGGCGCAGCACCCCGUGCUCUGCAUCGACCCGGACUUCAGGGAGUUCCUCGAGUCAGACACAGAGUUGCCGAAAGCGACGAGUACGUCAGCGCUGAGCGGCGCGGGAGUGCUGCGUCUCUUCAACAAGGUCGGCGAGACCGUCAACAAGAUCACGUACAGAAUGGACGAGUCUGACCCGUGGUUCGAGGAGCGCUCAGCCCGUGUAGAAGCGCUGGAGGCGUGCCUCCGCCGGCUGUACGGCGCGUGCGAGGCGCUGGCGGGCGAGCGGCGCGAGCUCAGCGCGCGCACGCACGAGGCGGCCCGCGCAUGCGCAGCGCUCUCCGGCGCCGACCCACACGCACCGCUCUCCCGCGCACUCUCACACACUGCAGACCUGCACGAGAAGAUCGAGCACCUGCGACUAGAGCAGUCUAACACAGACUUCUACGUGCUGGCAGAGCAUGUCAAGGACUACCUCGGACUCAUCGGAGCCAUCAAGGAUGUCUUCCAUGAGAGAGUCAAGGUAUUCCAAAACUGGCAGCACGCUCAGAUGCAGCUGACGAAGCGGAGAGAGAACAAAGCCAAGGCCGAGCUCGCCAACCGGCCCGAGAAGAUCGAACAAGCCGCCAAUGAGAUUAUUGAGUGGGAAGCGAAGGUAGAGCGGGGCCAGCAGGAGUUCGACACGAUAUCGCGCGUCAUCAAGAAGGAGCUGGAGCGCUGGGACGAGGUCCGUCUGCACGACCUGCGGACCGCGCUGCUGCGGUACCUGGACGACCAUAUGAAGCAUCAGGCACAGGUACACACACAAUAUCUACUUUAUUGACCUGCGGACCGCGCUGCUGCGGUACCUGGACGACCAUAUGAAGCAUCAGGCACAGUCGAUCCGCUACUGGGACGCGUUCCUACCGGAGGCGCGCGCGAUCAAAUGAGUGGGACUCUCCGCGCUCGCACUCCGCGACUGCGCUAACGUUAGUAAAUGAAUUCCACUACCCUACCCUACAUACACAUUCAUACAUACACUACUUGGGUGGAACAGAGUAAAUUGAACCUUGUAGGCUAUGAAAUUGAAUAACUUUUUGUUCACAUCAAGUGAGUAAAAAUUUCAUUCAUUGUGGUUGAAAUAACACUAUAGAAAUAUGUGAUAUGAGCAUUUAGUCAACGUUUGUUUUAGCACUUUACUCUACAGUUUUUUUCACGCGAAUCGCGUCAAUGUAUAUGAAAAGUGCUGAAAACUAAAGUUAUUCAAUUUCACUAUCUGAAAUAGCAACUACAAAGUUAUGUUUAUUCUGUUACACCCUGUAUACAGUGCGAAAAAGAGAUGACGCUAUCUGGUAUAACUUCCAUCUCUCUCUCACUAAAUUUUAAACAACCUCCGUUUAGAAUGAAUGGAGUGUUUGUAUAUGAAUAAAUUGUAUAUUUUCCACGCCUUAUAUAAAACUGUAUAUUUGCAAAUAUGGCUGCCCACGCGCAUGCUUCAAAUUUCGUAUACAAAACACUCUGUUUAUUCCUUAAUCUAAUAUAUUUCUUCCAUAAAGACAAAUAUAUAAUGUUCUAAAAUAGUUAUCAUGAGGCUUUGCAAUAGAUAAAUAAAAUUAAUAUAAAAAUUAUUGUUUGGAUUUUUUGUGAUGAAUUCUAUCAAUGUUUGCUCAGACGUUUUCGAGAUUAUCGCACACACAGACAAAGUCUGACUGUAUUCUACACUUCUGAGCUUGUUUGUAUAAAGAUUUCUGUUAUUUUUUGUUAUUAAAUAUAAAAUAAUUAUAUAAAUACAGUUAAAAACUUACCUUCACAUAAAUAAUUUCGAAACAUCACACUUUUCUAUCCCUUCAAAGAAUUUAAAUGUAUAAUUUAAUUUAUAUAGAUAUCUAAUUAUAUAUCUCAUAGUACUAUAACAUAGUAAAUGUAUAAUAUAAUAAAUAUGUAUAACUUAUAGUAUAGUAACUAAAAUUGUAAUUGAUUUUAGAUUAAAAUUUGUAUUUUCUUAUUAUUUUUCAUGUAUUUAUAAGUCCGAAUAUAGUAAAAUUUUAGUGUAAAUCUUAUAUAAACUACGUCAUCAGGUAUUCAUAAGAUCUAUUAAAAAUAUUAAUUAAAAUAAGCGGAAUUUUAAUGCCAAAUAAAAAUGACAUUCCAAAUUGUUGCUUUUUAAAAAAAACACGUUUUUUUUAUAUUUUUUGUAACUGGCAAUAUUAAUUCAUUUACUAACGUUAUGUUUAACGAACAUAAAUACUUUUUAUUUUACGAUUAAAUUGUAUAAAAGUAGAUAUGUUCUCAUAUGUUUUUUUUUUCUAUAUAAUUUUUAUUUUAAACGAAUGUAAGACUUAUUUUUUAAUUCGUACGUCUCAUUUUUAUGCGCACUUCAGUCUUCGCUAGAAAAUUAUUUUCUAAGGUCCAAUAGAAAAGUUUGUUGAAAUUCUGUUCUGACAUAUAAAUAAAAGAAAAUGUAUACAACAUUGGGAUUGAUAAUAAUUGAAGCCUGGCUAAUGCUUAGUUAUUCAUUUUACUAUUUUCAAACAGAUAGAAGUCUCGCUUGCUCUCUUUUCCUUUUAAAUAUAAUGUGAUAGACGUUUCAACCACUGGAUAGACUGAGGGCUUAGACCAAGUUUUACGUUUAACGAGAUCGAAACGAAAGUGCAUUCGACGCUCUGAUUGGUUGGUUCAUUCGCACCGGACAAUCAAUACUCUUAGCACGAGUUUUGUUUUCGUUUAAUGUGAGCUGAUUCGGCGCUCGUUUCGACUCAGGCUAUAAAAUUUAGAUAUUUUUUUGAGAUUUCUCAAUUGAAUUACAGCAGAAAUUAUUAUGUAAUUAUAAAUUAUCAUUAUAUUAUAUGUGCAUUACAAUUUUUAUAGCUAGUAUUCAAUCAACCAAGCUAUGAUCCGUGAUAAAGGAUGACAAAUAGUUAUCUGUGUAAUUAUUAAUUAAUUGUAAACAGGAAAAGACAUGGAUAACAUAAUAUGAUAACAAUAUCAUACAAAUAGAUAAUAAACAUACAUACUGCAGACUAUGUCAUAUAAUAUCAACCUGCAUUCUGUAUAUCAUGCAUCCUUAGUACGAGUGUGCUUUACGUUUAAAGUAAUCGAAACGAGACCGCGUUCGGCGUCCUGAUUGGCUGGUUUAUUCGAGCCAGCCAAUCAGAGCGCCUAACGCGGUUUCGUUUCGUUUUCGUUCGACCUAAAGCAAACUCAUACUGAGGAUACUGUUUGUUAAUCUGUUAGCCAGGCUUCAAUACAGGAUGAAAUUAAACAAGUAAUACAUAUUAUUACAAUAACUAUUGUGAGAUAUACUAAAUUAACUUAAAAAUCACGGUCACGAGUUUUUGAACGGUUAAAACAAAAUUAUUAUAAAACCAUUACACAUAUUAUGUAACUAAUCACUGGUGCAAUAUAUUUGUAACAUCAGUACUUUUACAUACUAACGCCCGAAUACUCAAACGCUACUCAAUUUUAAGUUGUACUUAAACAUCGUGCUAUUUCUGUCAUUUUAUAAAGAAUUGAUAGGGACAGAACUACAUUUGAGAGCGUCUUAAAAUUGAGUAGCGUUUGAGUAUUCGAGCAUAAAUGUAUAGUUUAAUAACUAUGACACACGCUGCAGUUUCCCUCGACAUCAAUAGGGAUGAUGAUGGGGUAUGAAAAUUAAAAAUCUAUUUAGUCCGUGAGUUAGGUAAUAAAAAAAUAUUAGACACGUAUUUUUUUAUUUUGUCGUAUAAGAUAACAAUGCUUACAUAAAACGUGUCAAAGUUUAGGAGUGGGAGCUAACUACGUCACUAUUGAGUAUAAAACGUACUCAAAAGUGACGUUACGCGAUAUUUCAAAUCGAUAUAUUUUCGAAAGUAUUUGUUUCCGUAAAAAAAUAAAAAUACGUGUCUAAUAUUUUAAAAUACAAGACGGACAUUAAAAUAAAAAUUUGUCAUCUACCCUAUUCUCAAGAAUUUAUUCAACACUACAUUGUAUAUUUUUUUAUUAUUACCUAUAGUCAUUUGUUUUUUAUUUUAAUCCUAAACGUAAGAAUACUAGAUGUAUCGCAUAUUAGAAAAAUGUAUUCGAAAAAGAUUGGUUACGCGUAUGUUGCUGUCAAAGUAUUCAAUUGGAGAUUUUUAAUAAUAAAUAAUUAAUUAUGUAAUUAAUUAUAUGGUUCUAUUUUUCAACACCAUGUAUAUUUUAUACUAUUAGAGCUCCUCGAGUUAAAGGAUUUUGGACUUUAUAACCGAACAGCAAAGAGUUUAAAAUCGAAUGAAGAAUUAAGACUUUUAGUGUAGCUUAACGUGCUGACUAUACAUGGUGUUCGAAAAUUACAAAGUUUAUGUACGUUUUAGACUUGUUUCCCAAAAUUGUUUCGUUGUACAGUAACGAUUUAUUUAUCGAUGUUAGUUGUAUGUUGUACAUGAUUAGUUUGAAGUUAUCAGCAUCCUUUUUAAACUUAAAUAAGUAGAUACUAUCUAUUCGCAUUAUGAUGUAAAGCCGUUGGUCUCUCCGGUCGUGUUGGUCUGCCGCUCCAUCGAGUUCAGUAUCCUUAGUAGGAGUUUGCUUUACGUUGAACGAAAAUUUAACGAGAACGCGUUCGGCACUCUGAGUGGUCGGCGCGAAUGAAGCAACCAUUCAGAAUUAACGCGCUCUCGUUUCGCUUUCGUUAAACGUAAACCAUACUCGUACUAAGGGUACAGAGAGUGAGGGAACAGAGAGUGCACCUGAGUUUACUGCGUAGUGGACUAGUCUAGUUAGACAGACUAACCACCAUGAUCGAAAUCGAUCGGGAGAUUUAUUUUAAUGUGAAAAUUAUUUGAAACUGUGCAGUCUCUUAGUCUGAUUUUACGACACAAGCAGUGAAGAAAAGACAAUAUGCUGUAGUCUGACGUCACUAUACGACUUAACUGAUAUCAAGCAACAUUGUGUGUACCUAGUUUUUUUUUAUGUUUCAUAGGCCGACGUUUGGCCGCUAUCUCGCCUAAUGGGAAAUGAUGAUGCGGCCUACGAUGGAGCACGUCUGCCCAUAAGCAACCAAUUCAAUAUUCAAUAUUAUUCUACUUUAAAAGGAUGCCAAUAACUUCGACUUUCCCUGUAGAUAUUGAGCAUUUAGUAUUUUAUCGUGACGUGUAUAAACUGUCCAAAUUGAUAUCUCUGACCGUAACAAUAUAAUAAUAUACUUAGAUAUGAAUAUAGGUAGAAUGAUUGAAAAAUGUUCGAGUCUAAGGCCGCGUUUCCAUUGACGCGGAGCGGGGCGGAGAAGAGCGGAGAAGAGCGGUGAAAAGUUGUCAGUGUUUCCACUGACGCGGAGCUGGGCGGAGAGGGGCGGAGAAGAGCGGUGAAAAAUGGUCAGCGGAGUGGAGUGAGGCGGAGCGGAGCAUACUUUUGGAAUCAUAUUGAGAGAUUGACCAUGUCUAAAUACAAUAGACCCUUUAUCGAUCAAAUGUCGCAAUCGAUAUUUUCAUUUAGA
Molecule: RNA transcript, 6133 nt
Organism: Spodoptera frugiperda (fall armyworm)
Lineage: Eukaryota; Metazoa; Arthropoda; Insecta; Lepidoptera; Noctuidae
Gene: Snx1
Gene name: sorting nexin-2
Exons: 10
Source: RefSeq, a predicted model, not a curated record